GGAUGUGCCCAGAUGGGAUUAGCUAGUAGGUGGGGUAACGGCUCACCUAGGCGACGAUCCCUAGCUGGUCUGAGAGGAUGACCAGCCACACUGGAACUGAGACACGGUCCAGACUCCUACGGGAGGCAGCAGUGGGGAAUAUUGCACAAUGGGCGCAAGCCUGAUGCAGCCAUGCCUCGUGUAUGAAGAAGGCCUUCGGGUUGUAAAGUACUUUCAGCGGGGAGGAAGGGAGUAAAGUUAAUACCUUUGCUCAUUGACGUUACCCGCAGAAGAAGCACCGGCUAACUCCGUGCCAGCAGCCGCGGUAAUACGGAGGGUGCAAGCGUUAAUCGGAAUUACUGGGCGUAAAGCGC
Molecule: ribosomal RNA, 353 nt
Filed under: Shigella flexneri
Lineage: Bacteria; Pseudomonadati; Pseudomonadota; Gammaproteobacteria; Enterobacterales; Enterobacteriaceae
Description: bacterial SSU rRNA
Rfam family: Bacterial small subunit ribosomal RNA
Source: RNAcentral